UCGGGUGUAGUUCAGUGGUAGAGAACUUGCCUAGCAUGCAUGAGCCCCUGGAUUCCAUCUCCAGCACCAAAA
RNAcentral lists this transfer RNA (72 nucleotides) under Fukomys damarensis (Damara mole-rat). It matches the Rfam family "tRNA". From Rfam's summary of the family: Transfer RNA (tRNA) molecules are approximately 80 nucleotides in length. Lineage: Eukaryota; Metazoa; Chordata; Mammalia; Rodentia; Bathyergidae. The record is from Rfam by way of RNAcentral.